GUGCCAGCAGCCGCGGUAAUACGUAGGUGGCAAGCGUUAUCCGGAAUUAUUGGGCGUAAAGCGCGCGUAGGCGGUUUUUUAAGUCUGAUGUGAAAGCCCACGGCUCAACCGUGGAGGGUCAUUGGAAACUGGAAAACUUGAGUGCAGAAGAGGAAAGUGGAAUUCCAUGUGUAGCGGUGAUAUGCGCAGAGAUAUGGAGGAACAACAGUGGCGAAGGCGACUUUCUGGUCCGUAACUGACGCUGAUGUGCGAAAGCGUGGAGAUCAAACAGGAUUAGA
This 278-nucleotide ribosomal RNA is filed under the name uncultured Staphylococcus sp. RNAcentral's name for it is "partial 16S ribosomal RNA". It matches the Rfam family "Bacterial small subunit ribosomal RNA", at positions 505 to 782 of the family's 1533-position model. The record is from RNAcentral. Lineage: Bacteria; Bacillati; Bacillota; Bacilli; Caryophanales; Staphylococcaceae.